AAACCAACAGGGAUUGCCUUAGUAACGGCGAGUGAAGCGGCAAAAGCUCAAAUUUGAAAUCUGGCGCCUUCGGUGUCCGAGUUGUAAUUUGAAGAAGGUAACUUUGGAGUUGGCUCUUGUCUAUGUUCCUUGGAACAGGACGUCACAGAGGGUGAGAAUCCCGUGCGAUGAGAUGCCCAAUUCUAUGUAAAGUGCUUUCGAAGAGUCGAGUUGUUUGGGAAUGCAGCUCUAAGUGGGUGGUAAAUUCCAUCUAAAGCUAAAUAUUGGCGAGAGACCGAUAGCGAACAAGUACAGUGAUGGAAAGAUGAAAAGAACUUUGAAAAGAGAGUGAAAAAGUACGUGAAAUUGUUGAAAGGGAAGGGCUUGAGAUCAGACUUGGUAUUUUGCGAUCCUUUCCUUCUUGGUUGGGUUCUCCGCAGCUUACUGGGCCAGCAUCGGUUUGGAUGGUAGGAUAAUGAUUAAGGAAUGUGGCUCUACUUCGGUGGAGUGUUAUAGCCUUGGU
RNAcentral lists this ribosomal RNA (502 nucleotides) under Debaryomyces nepalensis. RNAcentral describes it as "eukaryotic LSU rRNA". It matches the Rfam family "Eukaryotic large subunit ribosomal RNA", at positions 62 to 569 of the family's 3401-position model. The record is from RNAcentral. Lineage: Eukaryota; Fungi; Ascomycota; Pichiomycetes; Serinales; Debaryomycetaceae.